AUUGCUUCUCGGCCUUUUGGCUAAGAUCAAGUGUAGUAUCUAUAAAUAUGAUAGGGAAGAAAUAAACCUUCUCAUUCAAACUUUC
This 85-nucleotide small nuclear RNA is filed under the name Sorex araneus (European shrew). RNAcentral describes it as "U2 spliceosomal RNA (ENSSARG00000019140.1)". The stretch from base 1 to 71 matches the Rfam family "U2 spliceosomal RNA". Rfam says of the family: U2 is a small nuclear RNA (snRNA) component of the spliceosome (involved in pre-mRNA splicing). Lineage: Eukaryota; Metazoa; Chordata; Mammalia; Eulipotyphla; Soricidae. The record is from RNAcentral.